RNAcentral lists this transfer RNA (67 nucleotides) under Echyridella menziesii. RNAcentral describes it as "tRNA-Asn". The record is from RNAcentral. Lineage: Eukaryota; Metazoa; Mollusca; Bivalvia; Unionida; Hyriidae.
AAAAGAGAAGCUACCUAGCAAUUAGUUGUUACCUAAUUCCAUGUGGAACCACACCCACCUCUUUUAC